Molecule: non-coding RNA, 298 nt
Organism: Pseudonaja textilis
Lineage: Eukaryota; Metazoa; Chordata; Lepidosauria; Squamata; Elapidae
Source: RefSeq, a predicted model, not a curated record
UGACAAGCUACUUUCUAGGAAUCUUGCACUGUCCUUUCUCAAAGUUAAACUCAGGAAAAUAGAGUUUAAUUUCCAGACUAAAGAAGGCAGCACCUGGUAGAUGAAUGAUUUCCCCCCGCCCCACCCAACCUCCAAGGUUCCCUGGGGCAUCCAGUUGCAAUACAUGUUUUCUCCAUUACAAAUAUAAAGAAAAGGAACACCGAAAAGAGAGUGGUGAAUAGCCUCCUCUAAUAAUAUCAUCACAUCAUUGCUAUGCAUAUGCAAAGCAAUGGGGAAAGAACCCAUUUAAAGGCAUGGU